Molecule: ribosomal RNA, 301 nt
Filed under: uncultured bacterium
Lineage: Bacteria
Description: partial 16S ribosomal RNA
Rfam family: Bacterial small subunit ribosomal RNA
Source: RNAcentral
CAGUAGCCGCGGUAAUGCGAAGGGGGCUAGCGUUGUUCGGAAUUACUGGGCGUAAAGCGCACGUAGGCGGAUAUUUAAGUCAGGGGUGAAAUCCCAGAGCUCAACUCUGGAACUGCCUUUGAUACUGGGUAUCUUGAGUAUGGAAGAGGUGAGUGGAAUUCCGAGUGUAGAGGUGAAAUUCGUAGAUAUUCGGAGGAACACCAGUGGCGAAGGCGGCUCACUGGUCCAUUACUGACGCUGAGGUGCGAAAGCGUGGGGAGCAAACAGGAUUAGAUACCCGUGUAGUCCCUGUCUCUUAUAU